Molecule: unclassified non-coding RNA, 1855 nt
Filed under: Hevea brasiliensis (rubber tree)
Lineage: Eukaryota; Viridiplantae; Streptophyta; Magnoliopsida; Malpighiales; Euphorbiaceae
Source: RNAcentral
GAUCUAAAAGUGAUGCAUUCCAAAGGCAAGGGCAGGCCUGGUAUGCAACCCUUCUCUCAUCUCGUUCUAUGAGUUGUUUGCUUCUUUUGUUUUCAUUGUUUUGGAAUUUGGAUCUCCCUCUUUACGCCUCCUAUCUUGUCACCCCAAAUUAGUUUUGAUUAUUUAGUUGAAGUUGUUGGGCAUUCUUCUUGUCUAUACGUUCGUUUACUUUUAUCCACCGGAGUUUAUAUCUCUGCAUGCUACAAUGGCGAUCCAAACAUAGAAGUAAUUUUUACUUGACAGUAAAAGCUCACCCACAGUAGCUGUAAUGUAAAAAAUUUAUUUUGCUUUGUUCCGAGCUUUUCUUUUCCCCUUCAAAUAGAAUGUGCGUGGUAAGGGAAACUUUUAUUCAGAUAUUGAGUUGAGAUUUAAUUUUUUGGGUUGCUUAGAGAUAUCAAGUUAAUCUCUGUGCUGUUGAAAAUAGUUACAUAAUAUGGUUUAAAAUAAAAUGUGCACAGUAAGGGGAAUUGCUUGCUAGAUUUUUAAUCAAGAUUUAGUUUCUUAAGUUGCUUAGAGAUUUAAACUGUGAAAGUAAAGUUGUUGAAAAUCAUUUCCAUUGAACUUAUUGAGUGGUGCAAGGUGAAUGGUCUUUGAACUUAGCCAUUGGUUGUUGAAGUAGCACAGCUUAGGAAUGCUUCAUUUAGAUUGAGAUUGAUGUAUGUGCUAAUAGAGUGCGAAUCACUUAUGCUGCUUUCCUUCCUCUCUAAAUUGUUGAUUAUCAAUUCUGAUUUUGCUGUGGCACUUGUGCUUGUUCAGUGUCAAGUGUCAACAACCUUACUGGCAGUUUAACUUGAUUGGUUGAAGACAAAGAGCUUAUUUUAUUCUUGAUGUUACUGAUUAAUCUGCCAGUUGGGCCAUUAUAUUGCUUGUGAUAGGAUUAUCUUGCUUCUAGGGUGGAGGGUUUUCUAUGCGCACGUGCGCGCGCGCACACACACAUAUAUUGAUGUGUAGAUGCAUAUGUAGCUGUAUACAUUCACUCAUGGAAAAAAUUUCUAAUCCAGUAAAUACUGUAAUCGAUGGAUAUGAGGAUUGAACCUUGUGACUUAAACAUACUUCACCUUAAUCAUAUGUUCUACAUUAUAAGGGAAAGAUUUUUUGUGGGGUUUAACUUCAACAGUAACCAGGCUGCAAAAUAUUUUAUUCCCCUCAUUUUCAAUUUUCCUUUAUGGUGUAUGAACUUUCAAAGGAUGCACUUAGCAUUUCAUCAAGUGGGCUAUUAUUGGGUGAAGGACCUAGCAUAAGUCUUAUACAUGACAUAUUAAUGGUUUGGUUCGUUUUACUCUGAUACAUGGGAUGUCUAUAUGCUGUUUGUGGAAUAUCCUAGAGGUUAUGUAUCAACAUGAGCUAUGCUACUUGCAUCAGACUAUGAAUACCAGAAGGAAACAUUCUUCAUGGUGCUUAUUAGAAAAGCAGUUUCAACCUUAAUGCUAAAGAGGCUGUAAGCAUCUUCUAAGUAUCAGUGCUUUUGCCUUAGAACUUGUCAAAGACUGCUCUAUGUAUUUUGAAAAGUGGAACAAGGAAUGCAUUACAGCUUCCUCUGCGCAGUUAAAAAAUGCAUUUUACUCCACAUAAGUGCUAACGGACCAUAAUGUAUGCCUGUCUGUCCCUAGAGACUCUGAAAGUGGGGUGUUCAAAUGGAUAUAUACCUUCUUGUGGACAAAUUUGCAAUAGAACCCAAAUCAAAGCAUGAUAAUGCCCAGGAUACAUUUGUGUGGGAAUUGUAAAAAGAAAAAGGAAAUAUCUCUAAUUCAUGCUUCUUUUUUGAUCUUUUAUUCACAUACGAUGGAUUGUAGGUUCUGCACCACUGGGCUUCCUA